Molecule: ribosomal RNA, 254 nt
Filed under: uncultured bacterium
Lineage: Bacteria
Description: partial 16S ribosomal RNA
Rfam family: Bacterial small subunit ribosomal RNA
Source: RNAcentral
CACGUAGGGUGCAAGCGUUGUCCGGAAUCAUUGGGCGUAAAGAGCUCGUAGGCGGCUUAGUAAGUCGGGUGUGAAAACCCCAGGCUCAACCUGGGGACGCCACCCGAUACUGCUAUAGCUAGAGUCCAGUAGGGGAGUGUGGAAUUCCCAGUGUAGCGGUGAAAUGCGCAGAUAUUGGGAGGAACACCAGCGGCGAAGGCGGCACUCUGGGAUGGUACUGACGCUGAGGAGCGAAAGCGUGGGUAGCGAACAGG